UGGGGAAUAUUGCACAAUGGGCGCAAGCCUGAUGCAGCCAUGCCGCGUGUAUGAAGAAGGCCUUCGGGUUGUAAAGUACUUUCAGCGGGGAGGAAGGCGAUAAGGUUAAUAACCUUGUCGAUUGACGUUACCCGCAGAAGAAGCACCGGCUAACUCCGUGCCAGCAGCCGCGGUAAUACGGAGGGUGCAAGCGUUAAUCGGAAUUACUGGGCGUAAAGCGCACGCAGGCGGUCUGUCAAGUCGGAUGUGAAAUCCCCGGGCUCAACCAGGGAACUGCAUUCGAAACUGGCAGGCUAGAGUCGUGUAGAGGGGGGUAGAAUUCCAGGUGUAGCGGUGAAAUGCGUAGAGAUCUGGAGGAAUACCGGUGGCGAAGGCGGCCCCCUGGACAAAGACUGACGCUCAGGUGCGAAAGCGUGGGGAGCAAACA
Molecule: ribosomal RNA, 427 nt
Filed under: uncultured bacterium
Lineage: Bacteria
Description: partial 16S ribosomal RNA
Rfam family: Bacterial small subunit ribosomal RNA
Source: RNAcentral